GCCCGGGUAGCUCAAUCGGUAGAGCGUGUGGCUCUUAUUGGAUAACCUCAAGGUCGCGGGUUCGAGCCCCGCCUCGGGCU
Molecule: transfer RNA, 80 nt
Filed under: Blumeria graminis f. sp. tritici
Lineage: Eukaryota; Fungi; Ascomycota; Leotiomycetes; Helotiales; Erysiphaceae
Also listed under: 1 other name
Rfam family: tRNA
About the family: Transfer RNA (tRNA) molecules are approximately 80 nucleotides in length. Their secondary structure includes four short double-helical elements and three loops (D, anti-codon, and T loops).
Source: Rfam by way of RNAcentral